This is a long non-coding RNA of Cicer arietinum (chickpea), 817 nucleotides long. RefSeq lists it as uncharacterized. The record is from RefSeq and is a predicted model, not a curated record. NCBI's taxonomy places the organism in Eukaryota, Viridiplantae, Streptophyta, Magnoliopsida, Fabales, Fabaceae.
GCUGUGAUAAAGGCAUAUCCACGUGGUGGGUGAGAUUAUCAAACCCUAAGAAGAAUCUUCUUCGAUAGUUUACUUGGAAAGGAGGAAAACAGUGUGAAUGAGUUCGCACGGUGUGCUACGAAAUCGCCACCCAUAAAAACCCCACCGACCUAUUCCCUUUCCUUCUCAGGCGUCUUUGUUUAUCAUACUUUCCCUCCGCCGCCUCUUCUAGUUAGCGUUUCUCCUUCCAAUUUUUAAACCUCAUAUCUGGAAAUUCUAAUCGGGAAAAAAAUGCAAUAAUAAUUUUUUUUUGAGAAAAAUAGGAAUAUCGCUGUUUCAGAGAAAAAUGUAUAGUAUGAACGGUAACUGCAGUGCUUGGUAUGCAUAAAUUUUAAAUAGUUGCACGAGUAGCAAGUGACCUUUUCACAUUUUAAAUAGUUGCACGAGUAGCAAGUGACCUUUUCACCUUUUCACUUAAGUUGUUGUGUAUCAGCUUAUAUAGCAGCACACCCAGGGCUUGAAACUUAAAGAAAGCUCUGUCUUUCUCCUUCCUUAUCAUAUAUAUAUCAUUAUCAGCAAUAUUGAGCUAAUGACCGACUAAAGACUUUUACGCUAUACUAUUAAUCUAUGGAUGAAAAUGGUAAUAAAUGGAUAAAUUUUCUUUGGCAUUAAUAUUAUUCUUAUAUUCUUGGAGAUGGGAUUUUUGCCAAUUUCAUCUGAAAGCCGAAGUGUUUUGAUUGAUUGAUUUCUAUUGACUAAUUUAUUAUUUGUUAUGUCAACUUUAUAAUGACGUGUACAUGAUCCUUUACAUUAGUCCCUUAUACUCAUAUUUUUUAAA